AGGCAGUGAUGACUGAAAAGUAUACCAUCAAACUAUGAGAGCUUUGCCUCAUUGACGUAAUAAUAUGUUUCUAUCGUCCGAGCCU
Molecule: small nucleolar RNA, 85 nt
Organism: Hibiscus syriacus
Lineage: Eukaryota; Viridiplantae; Streptophyta; Magnoliopsida; Malvales; Malvaceae
Product: small nucleolar RNA snoR116
Exons: 1
Source: RefSeq, a predicted model, not a curated record